CGGUGGGUGCAGCGGAAGAGGGGGUCCAGGGGGGAGAACUUCUUAGCAGUCAUCCUUUUUAGGAAAAGAGGGAAAAAAUAAAACCCUCCCCCACCAUCUCCUUCUCCCCACCCCUCGCCGCACCACACACAGCGCGGGCUUCUCGGCUCUGCACCGGCGGGCCGGGCGCGUCCUGCCUUCAUUUAUCCAGCAGCUUUUCGGAAAAUGCAUUUGCCGUUCGGAGUUUAAUCAGAAGCGGAUUCCUGCGCCUGGGUGUACCCGGCGCGUCUACCGGCCCCUGAUCCCUGUCUCUCCCCGGGGGAGGCUUGAAGCGGUCCCGCGGACAGGGGUCCAUGUCUGUGCCCGCGCAUGUGCGCGCGCGUGUAUAUUGCCGAGAGGGGGGAAAUCACAGGACUUAUGCAAAUACUGGACUGAAAAUUGUAAUUCAUCUGCCGCCGCCGCUGCCUUCCCCACCCCCCGGCCCCCCCCUUUCGUGCUCUUGAGAUCUCCAGUUGGGAUUCUUACGGACUGACAUUUCUGUGAAGGAGAAGUCUGAGAACCCAUCUGCCAAUUCUGCUCAUUUACACCACUCCCCCACCUCCAGGUUCAUUUGCAAGUUUCAUAGCAGCUAUCGCCGGGAGUUCUGAAGAUCGAUGGGGUCUUUGCCUUACGCAUUUGUUUUGUCUUCACAAAAAAGGAAACUUGACAGAAGAUCAUGCCGUCCUUAAAAAAUACAAGAUCACGGAGGAAGUAGACUGAUAUUGACAAUAAUUAAUAAUAAUGUGCCUCAUGAAAUAAAGAUCCGAAAGGAAUUGAAAUAAAAAUUUCCUGCACCUCAUGCCAAGAGGGAAACACCAGAAUCAAAUGUUCCGCGUGACUGAAGACACCCCCUCAUCCAAGAAUGCACAGCACAUCCAAUAAAAUAGCUGGAUUAUAA
Long non-coding RNA from Myotis davidii, 916 nucleotides. RefSeq lists it as uncharacterized. Lineage: Eukaryota; Metazoa; Chordata; Mammalia; Chiroptera; Vespertilionidae. The record is from RefSeq and is a predicted model, not a curated record. The transcript has 2 exons.